RNAcentral lists this ribosomal RNA (253 nucleotides) under uncultured bacterium. RNAcentral describes it as "partial 16S ribosomal RNA". It matches the Rfam family "Bacterial small subunit ribosomal RNA", at positions 524 to 776 of the family's 1533-position model. The record is from RNAcentral.
UACGGAGGGUGCGAGCGUUGUCCGGAAUCACUGGGCGUAAAGGGCGCGUAGGCGGCCUGGUAAGUAGGGGGUGAAAUCCUGCGGCUUAACCGCAGGGCUGCCUUCUAAACUGUCAGGCUCGAGCACGGUAGAGGCAGAUGGAAUUCCUGGUGUAGCGGUGAAAUGCGCAGAUAUCAGGAGGAACACCGGUGGCGAAGGCGGGUCUCUGGGCCGAUACUGACGCUGAGGAGCGAAAGCGUGGGGAGCGAACAGG